GCAGGUUUUUGCCGGCCCCUAAAUUUUAUCCUCUGCUUAUCAUGGUUAUUACUUGUCCUUCCUCUGCAGAAUUGAGCGCAUGUUUUUUUAUUAUAGUAUAGCCUUUGAGUUCCUGCUUGCAUAUUACUUGAAACAUAGUUAAAUUGUGUAUAUUUAGCAGCUUUUCUUCUUACAGGCAAUUGUGCUUAACUCUGGUUACAUUUCUGUAUGGCCGCAAAAUUCAAGCAAUUGUAUAUAUACAUACUUUGGUCACAAUAUGAUCAUCGAAUACAAUAUGACACUUCCUGCUAAAUUUCUUCAGCUGUAAAUCUGAGAAUGUACUUCUCUUUAUGUAAUUAAGUUUGGAUUACUAGAUCUUAUGCAAAUGCCAUUUUUUGUUCCUUAAUCAGUCCGCCUGUGGAGCUCCACAGAUAGAGUUGGAUGUGUUCGAUGAUGGAGCUACCUGCGUUGGCUGUGUUGUCGGGUAGGCUGACUAUUUUUGUUAGUUCUGAAAUGCACAGAUGCUAAUAUAUAAGUAUAUAUCGCUACUGCUGGGAGCUGCUGUUUAUUUAUAGACAACUCCUGAAUUUACUAUGUCAAUAUUUUUUGACCUAUUUUUGUUCUUGUUACUCAUUAAAAAAAUUAGUUUUCUUGCUCAAAAUCAUCUUACAAUGUUUCAUGUUACCACAGAUCAUGGCAAGGAAUAAAUUUUACAACCAAAAUCAUAUUCUACCAACAUAUUUGGUGCAUAUUAUCAUUUAGCAGUACGCUGGCUGUGCCUUCCUAUGAUAAAUGGAGAUCUUAGAUGUACUAUUGUUCCGUCAGGCAUUGAACCUAUCAAUGACUGACCAUGAAAGAUAUGUGUAGCUCUAAUUUUCUCCAUAUGUUUCUGUUUUCAAGGAUAAUUCUUAAUCCUUUUGGAAUUACCAUCUGUAAACAUGUUUGGAAUUAUCAUCUAUGUAGAUCUGUGCAGAUUCAAAUCUCUUCAUAUUUAUAUCAAAGAGUUUGUUUUUCGAAUGGUCGUCAUGUAUACUAAACUCCCUGCCCCCCUCUCCUGUCACAUGUGUUGUUCACUUGCCAUCAGUGAGCUCCAUAAAACACGACUACAGGGUGCAGAAUGCUUGCCACUUAGUUAACGUUGUAGACAUGUAACACUAUAAUGUUGGACAAUAAAUGAAUUCGACUACAUCCAAACGAACUUAUCUUGCUUCCAAGAAGAGUAAAAUCAUCUUCAAUAACUUCCUGUACUUUGCUUAUAUUCAUGUUUCUCAACAUGUUUGGAAUGUAGUUUCCCCCCAAAAUGCAGUAUUUACCUUCCAUUUGAAGCAUAGGGUGCAAUUUUUAUCAGUUGCUGUCUGAAACCCCACUUCCCUGGUAAAAACGCUAUCCACCUUCAAAUAUACUCCCUCCGUAAAAAUAUAUAAGCUUUACGGAGGGAGUAUACAAGUUCUCUGAUACGGUAGUCGUGGGAAGACUAUAUUUUUGGUUUACAUUGUAAAUGAUUUGAGUGACCACAAAUGUGACUUUCUUUUUUGUUUCUUUUCAGUUUUCAGUGAGGGCAGGCCUGGCGCAGUGGUGAAGUCCUCCCCACUUGUGCCAAGAGGUCCUGGGUUCGAACCAGCCUCUCUGCAUUGCACUUUGCAGGGGUAAGACUAGGUUCCUAUAAUCCCUCCCCAGACCCCACCUUGUGUGGGAGCUUCUAUGCACUGGGUCUGUCCUUUUUUUCAGUUUUCAGCUCCUAGAUGAGAAGGCAAGGAUGUACUUGAGCAAUAUGAGAAGACCCAGUUCCAUUAUCUCAGAAGCCAGAAGUCUCCCAUUUACUGACUUUGGUACUAUUUUUUUAAAGAAUGGUCAAUCCGCUAUCAGCACCACGAUUAUGUGUCAAUUGUAGAUUCUUAAUUGCUUAGAAUUAUUUUAUUUGUUUGAUUCCUUCUGUUGAUAUUUAUUCAACAACAAAAUAUUUUCAAGAUUGGUCGGUGUGAGGAUCAAACAUGUGAAUGGAUGUGGCAUCAAGCUAAGUCUGUUGAUACCUUGCUCACCUUUUUUUGCUUUGAGUGGGUUAUGACUUACUUUCUGAUUGUUGUUUGUGAGAAAAUACCACCUCUGUUUGUCUCUCUGAAUUAUCAUUGGUCAUUGCGACAAGGGUGAUUCAGAGUUGUAGGUUGUAUGACUGGUCUAAUAUGGCAGGUCCCACAAAGAAAACAUACAAGUUGUAGGGAGUUGUUUAGUUCAGAUGUGCACGGGAAUGGGCUCACUGGGAUCUUGGUAGGAGGUGAAUCUUGUGGUCAUGAGCCUGGACAUCACGCUGGUGCGCUUCCUAGGGAGGUGCGUCCGUGCGCUGUGCUUGGAUGGCGAAUCGAGAUGAGGCUUAGUGGCUGCUCGCCUCUCUGAAUCACGGAUACGAAAUUUGGUGGUUGUUCACCUAAUGGAGAUCGAAAAUGGCGUCGAGUUAUUUUAUGGGCUAAUUGUUGUGAGUGCCAACGAUUUCGUUUUGACCAUAUAGGACCAGCCUAUGUCAUUGCCGGUAGCAACGAUAUAACAACCUAAAUGUCGCUGAUACCAAAUACUCAUCUGUUCCUAAAUAUACGUCUUUUUAGACAUUUCAAAUAAAUUACAACAUAUCAGAUGUA
This is a long non-coding RNA of Triticum aestivum (bread wheat), 2609 nucleotides long. RefSeq lists it as uncharacterized. The transcript is spliced from 2 exons. The record is from RefSeq and is a predicted model, not a curated record. Lineage: Eukaryota; Viridiplantae; Streptophyta; Magnoliopsida; Poales; Poaceae.